This 409-nucleotide long non-coding RNA is filed under the name Mus caroli (Ryukyu mouse). Its description in RNAcentral is "lncRNA (MGP_CAROLIEiJ_G0004108.1)". Lineage: Eukaryota; Metazoa; Chordata; Mammalia; Rodentia; Muridae. The record is from RNAcentral.
GAGCCUGCCGGGCGUGUCACCACCCCGCACCUGGAGUCAUGCGUGUGCACCACCUGAGCACCUGGGAGGCUAGUUUGCAUCAAGGGGACAUCUGAAAGCCCCGCUACGCAGGCGCACAGGUCUGCCCUUGCCCUUCCCCCUCUUCCUAGGGUUUCUGUCCUCCGGGAUUGGAAGUAGCUGCUGCAGGGAUGCGAUCCCAAACCACCCAAAGAACAUCCAGCCUGAGCCCAAUGCUCCCUUUACUUCCUGCCCCAGGCCCCCUUUACCUCCCGCCGCUGCAGGGCAGGUGCAGAGUCCACAGCAGCCCAGAGCGCGCUCUCCACGAGGUCUCAUGCCCAGGUUCUGGGAAUCAAACCCAGGUCGUCUGGAGAAACAGCCAGUGCUUUUAACCCUGGAGCCAUCUCUCCAG